Molecule: unclassified non-coding RNA, 602 nt
Filed under: Hevea brasiliensis (rubber tree)
Lineage: Eukaryota; Viridiplantae; Streptophyta; Magnoliopsida; Malpighiales; Euphorbiaceae
Source: RNAcentral
UAACAAUUGGCGUGUGAAUAUAAAGAAAUCCGUGCUUGUUAAAAAAUGUGUGAGUGGCAUAUGCAAGCGCAUUUCGAAUUCUAGCAACUGCAGAUAUCGUGUUGGUCCUAGGGCGGAGAUGAACGACAUCUCUGAGAAACUCGAGAGUGAGUUUGGUCUUCGGUAAAGGAUACCGAGCGGGAUCAACGGGACCGACAUGAACGACAGCAUCAGCCCGAAGUUCAACUUUCUGGUGCUUACCCGGCGGAGGAAGCUUGAAGACGCCGUCGACAACCACGCAGGUUCCAGUGGGAACAAUCUGGCCAAGAUCCGCCACAGACGCCUCGAUGAUCACUUGGAGAUUCUGAGGGCAUGAGCCGUCGUUCAACUCGAGAAAGGCGAAAGCGUCCUUGUCGGCCUUUCUUCCAGUUUUGACCCAACCACCGACGCGUACCUUCUGGCCGGCGAGGCCUGCGCCGCCGUCGGGCCGGGAGACAAUUGUACGGAUCGGAACACGGUCUGAGAAUUCAGCUUUGAGAGAGUCGUAAGUGGGAGCAUCGUUGUUCAAGGUGACGGCGGCGAGUUGGUCGGCGGGUGGCGCGGAAUGCUCUGCCAUUGGCCCG